Molecule: long non-coding RNA, 335 nt
Filed under: Elaeis guineensis (African oil palm)
Lineage: Eukaryota; Viridiplantae; Streptophyta; Magnoliopsida; Arecales; Arecaceae
Description: long non-coding RNA (EGUI_LNC075308)
Source: RNAcentral
UCUCACCAGUAAGGAGGGAGCAUCUGGAUUAUAGAGACGAGAUAGGACUUUGAGGGGACGAGAGCGACGGAGGAACGAAGGAAGAAAGAAAAAGAUAAGGGCAAAGAUAGAGCCGGGGAGGUCGACGGGGGCUUCUUGGACAGAGAUGGUAGAGCAGGUAAGAAGAGAGCCAGGCUUGGGGAAGGGGCGGGAGCAGGGUUGGGGGUUUGGAAGUAGCACGCGGCAGGAGAGAGUUGCCUCCACCAUAACCAACACCUUGUGAAGAAGAAUGAAGAAGAAGAAUCAGGAUUAGGGAUCGAGUUGAGAAACUUUGUAGCGAUAGUAACGAAAUCCAU